This is a non-coding RNA of Eumeta japonica, 102 nucleotides long. Lineage: Eukaryota; Metazoa; Arthropoda; Insecta; Lepidoptera; Psychidae. The record is from the annotation of a GenBank genome assembly.
ACCACGCUGAAUACAUCGGUUCUAGUUCGAUCAUCAAAGUCAAGCAGCGUCGGGCGCGGUCAGUAGUUGGAUGGGAGGCCGCCUAGGAACACGUCGUGGUGU